RNAcentral lists this transfer RNA (69 nucleotides) under Ophidion asiro. Its description in RNAcentral is "tRNA-Val". Lineage: Eukaryota; Metazoa; Chordata; Actinopteri; Ophidiiformes; Ophidiidae. The record is from RNAcentral.
CAGUUUUUAGCUUAAGAAAAGCCCCUCCCUUACACCGAGAAGUUGUCCGUGAAACCCAGACUAAACUGA